Molecule: ribosomal RNA, 253 nt
Filed under: uncultured bacterium
Lineage: Bacteria
Description: partial small subunit ribosomal RNA
Rfam family: Bacterial small subunit ribosomal RNA
Source: RNAcentral
AGGACGAACGCUGGCGGCGUGCUUAACACAUGCAAGUCGAACGAUGAAGCCUUUCGGGGUGGAUUAGUGGCGAACGGGUGAGUAACACGUGAGCAACCUGCCCCUGGCUCUGGGAUAGCCUCCGGAAACGGGGAUUAAUACCGGACAUGACCCUUGACCGCAUGGUUGGGGGUGGAAAGUUUUUCGGCCAGGGUGGGCUCGCGGCCUAUCAGCUUGUUGGGGGGUGACGGCCCACCAAGGCGACGACGGGUAG